CUUUUAGCUUCCCCCAUCCUGCAAGGCCACUCAACCAUGUGCUAGCUGGAGUGAUCUUUAUUCACAAUGUCUUUACAAAGGCUCCUGCAACACAGCAGCAAUGGCAAUUUGGCGGACUUCUGCGCUGGGUCAGCGUAUAGCUCUUACUCCACACUCACAGGCAGCCUUACGAUGGAUGAUAAUAGAAGGAUUCAAAUGCUGGCAGACACAGUGGCUACUCUGCCUCGGGGACGAAAGCAGCUUGCUUUGACCAGAUCAAGUUCUUUAAGUGACUUUUCCUGGUCUCAAAGGUAAAGAGAUUGAAUUAUUUUUUGUCUCUCCAAAAAUAUUUAGGAACAUAGCUCUCCAGACUGUUUUUUUCUCUCCCUUUCUCUCUCUCACGCACACACACAGACGCACACACACAGACACACACACAGAAUCUUACAUACUACAAUUUACAUAAAUGUCAGUUAUUUUUAAUUGUGACAGUUAUUUUUAAUGAUAAAUCUGUGCCAAAUGUGAUACUUUAAUUUUCAUGCAGUUUCUUUUUUAUACAUUUUUAUUGCAGAAAGCUUGU
RNAcentral lists this small RNA (559 nucleotides) under Pongo abelii (Sumatran orangutan). Its description in RNAcentral is "retained intron". The record is from RNAcentral. Lineage: Eukaryota; Metazoa; Chordata; Mammalia; Primates; Hominidae.